CAGGGAAAUAGGGUUUCCUGUCUUCUUACCAAUUCCUGGGCUCCUGUACUAGCUGCAGUGAAGAGAGAUAGCAAGCUCAUUGGAGGCAGGGGGUGGAAAUAAGAAGGAGAUGUAAUGAGAGAAGUAGAUGUGGCACUGAUGGGUACAUAGCUGGGAUUUAAGACCAACACAGGUUUUUUGGGAAGAGUAAAAUCUGGAGCCAAAGGAGUUCUCUGUGUGAGCCUCUUCCUGGAUCAGAGUCCCCACCAGAGAAGCUGCUGUUGCUCAUCAUCAUUACAUUAACGUAACGUCUCCCCUGGUCCCUCAGCUUUACCCCAGAGAGGGGUUCUCUGAGGAUUUUAAUAUGGUUUUAGAAAGAAUAAAUAUCAGAAUUCAACUGUUUGACUUGGAGAUGAAAGUAAGGCUUAAUUUGUAUUCACCUGUCAAAUGUUGGAAGUGAAUGAAGUGUGUGCAGACUUUUUAUCUCUAAGAAGGAACCACUGUGAUUGUCUGGUUCCCAUCACAUGUGUUCUCAAAGUUCCAUGAAGAAUUUCUUCUUCUGGACAGAAGUUUAUGCUGAGGCCAGAGGACCACUUUCAGUAAUGCACUGUAUUCUAAAAUUUGCUAGAGACCUCAUGAUAUCUCAGGACAUCCCAAAGUGACUGAUUCUAGUAAUUGAUUACUCCCAGAGGUAGAAAAUGUGCGUUUCCUUUCCAGUGAAUUUAUCUACUCUCAAUUUCAGUUGGUGGAUCUUGUAUUUUCCUGAUUGAUUUAGAUCUGAAGUGUAUCCUGUAUGCAGUACAUAGAAAGCCGAGUAGGUCAUUUCUUGACCUCUGCUUGAUAAAUUAGAUUAAAUAUCUUGAUUUGAUAGAUAUCAUCUUGUAAACCUAGAAUCAUUUCAUAUUUCUUUCUGCUCCUUUCCCCAUAUUCCACCUUUUUUUCCUUCAAAAGUAGCCCUCAGAAGUGGGGACAGCAUUCCAGCAUACUCACAAUAAUGACAGAAGUAGCAGCAUUCUUCCCUCCUGCAGAACAAAUGAGGUAGUUGAGCCAGAUCCUUCCCCUGUCAUAACAUGAAGGUCAGUUGUGAAGAUUU
Tympanuchus pallidicinctus (lesser prairie-chicken) is the source of this 1072-nucleotide long non-coding RNA. RefSeq lists it as uncharacterized. The transcript is spliced from 3 exons. The record is from RefSeq and is a predicted model, not a curated record. Lineage: Eukaryota; Metazoa; Chordata; Aves; Galliformes; Phasianidae.